Molecule: ribosomal RNA, 300 nt
Filed under: uncultured Alterococcus sp.
Lineage: Bacteria; Pseudomonadati; Verrucomicrobiota; Opitutia; Opitutales; Alterococcaceae
Description: bacterial SSU rRNA
Rfam family: Bacterial small subunit ribosomal RNA
Source: RNAcentral
GCUAACCCGGUGCCAGCUGCGCCGGGAAGACAGAGGGGGCGAGCGUGAAUCGGAAUUACUGUGCGUAAAGCGCGAGUAGGCGGCUUUGCAAGUCGGGGGUGAAAUCCCCAGGCUUAACCUGGGAACUGCAUUCGAGACUGCAUUGCUAGAGUAUGGGAGAGGGAAGUGGAAUUUCCGGUGUAGCGGUGAAAUGCGUAGAUAUCGGAAGGAACAUCAGUGGCGAAAGCGACUUCCUGGACCAAUACUGACGCUCAUGUGCGAAAGCGUGGGGAGCAAACAGGAUUAGAUACCCGAGUAGUC